Molecule: ribosomal RNA, 466 nt
Filed under: uncultured bacterium
Lineage: Bacteria
Description: partial 16S ribosomal RNA
Rfam family: Bacterial small subunit ribosomal RNA
Source: RNAcentral
GACGAACGCUGGCGGCGCGCCUAACACAUGCCAGUCGAACGAGCGAGAGGAGGUUUACUUUCUCAAGCGAGUGGCGAACGGGUGAGUAACGCGUGAGGAACCUGCCUCAAAGAGGGGGACAACAGUUGGAAACGACUGCUAAUACCGCAUAAGCCCACGACCCGGCAUCGGGUAGAGGGAAAAGGAGCAAUCCGCUUUGAGAUGGCCUCGCGUCCGAUUAGCUAGUUGGUGAGGUAAUGGCCCACCAAGGCGACGAUCGGUAGCCGGACUGAGAGGUUGAACGGCCACAUUGGGACUGAGACACGGCCCAGACUCCUACAGGAGGCAGCAGUGGGGAAUAUUGCACAAUGGGGGAAACCCUGAUGCAGCGACGCCGCGUGGAGGAAGAAGGUCUUCGGAUUGUAAACUCCUGUUGUUGAGGAAGAUAAUGACGGUACUCAACAAGGAAGUGACGGCUAACUACGUG